GAUGAACGCUGGCGGCGUGCCUAAUACAUGCAAGUCGAGCGAAUGGAUUAAGAGCUUGCUCUUAUGAAGUUAGCGGCGGACGGGUGAGUAACACGUGGGUAACCUGCCCAUAAGACUGGGAUAACUCCGGGAAACCGGGGCUAAUACCGGAUAACAUUUUGAACCGCAUGGUUCGAAAUUGAAAGGCGGCUUCGGCUGUCACUUAUGGAUGGGCCCGCGUCGCAUUAGCUAGUUGGUGAGGUAACGGCUCACCAAGGCAACGAUGCGUAGCCGACCUGAGAGGGGGAUCGGCCACACUGGGACUGAGACACGGCCCAGACUCCUACGGGAGGCAGCAGUAGGGAAUCUUCCGCAAUGGACGAAAGUCUGACGGAGCAACGCCGCGUGAGUGAUGAAGGCUUUCGGGUCGUAAAACUCUGUUGUUAGGGAAGAACAAGUGCUAGUUGAAUAAGCUGGCACCUCGACGGUACCUAACCAGAAAGCCACGGCUAACUACGUGCCAGCCGCCGCCGUAA
RNAcentral lists this ribosomal RNA (515 nucleotides) under uncultured bacterium. RNAcentral describes it as "partial 16S ribosomal RNA". It matches the Rfam family "Bacterial small subunit ribosomal RNA", at positions 28 to 523 of the family's 1533-position model. The record is from RNAcentral.